Molecule: long non-coding RNA, 745 nt
Filed under: Lynx pardinus (Iberian lynx)
Lineage: Eukaryota; Metazoa; Chordata; Mammalia; Carnivora; Felidae
Source: RNAcentral
AAUCAUCUCAAUGCUUGCUUUUUAAUUAGUUUGUUCAAUUUGCUGAGUCUGCUCUUUCUUUGUUUUCUAAUUAUGACAGAGAAUCUGAAACAGAUGCAGAAGAAGCAUGACCUACUUGAAAAAUCAGCAGCCAGGCCUGUAAGCUUUGUGGAGUGAUGUUAACACUAAGGAAUUAUCAAUUCAAGUGAAUUCCAAUAUGCAAUUGAAGUCAUUAGUAUGGAUUGGUGUCAAAUUUUCAAGCAUUUACCUUAUUUAUUGAAUGGCCUAAUACUUAUAAAUGGUAAUGAGGAGAGGGUGGAGUAGAAAGAUAAGGAUAGACUCUAAUACUAUGGUCCUUAGGGCUUCUAUCUGAAUUUCAGGAUUACUGUCAAAUAAAUAUUUAUUAGUGUCCUUUCUCUAUAUGUAGACACUAACUAUAAAUAUAGAUGACUGGCUAAAAAUUAAGUGUUAAGCUGGAAUUAGAUAUUGAAACUGAGUACCAAUAUUGUCCUUAGUAAAUCUCCCCUGGGAUAUUAUUCUGUGCAUAAAAUGUAUUUUUCUGCACAUAUUAAUUAAAACUUUUUAAAUGAUCACUGAAACUGUAUCUCCUGACCUACAGAAUAUAUCAACUGUAUGUUCUUAGGUCCUUGUGGCAGAUGCAAAUUAAAUAUGAGAAAUGCACAUUGAAAUUCCUAUGAAUGCAUCAUUUUGCAAAAUGAGCUUUACAAAUUCCAUAUUUUAUGCAACCCCCCCCAAAACAAAAACA